RNAcentral lists this ribosomal RNA (1728 nucleotides) under Triticum aestivum (bread wheat). RNAcentral's name for it is "partial small subunit ribosomal RNA". The record is from RNAcentral. Lineage: Eukaryota; Viridiplantae; Streptophyta; Magnoliopsida; Poales; Poaceae.
AUGAGGAAUUUCGUCGAGAAACUGGUUCUCUCUUUGCUAUGGAUCUCACUGCUCCAAGGAUGCAUUGUCCAGUCUGUGGAAUAUGAUCAUACGGCUAGUAUCGAGUGCCUGGGUGAUCCGAUGAAGCCCCUCUACAAAGGCGGCAUCAUCCAGAACGGCGAGUUCAACAACGGCCUGAUGGGGUGGUCGACGCGCCGGGACAUCAAGGCCGGCAUCAGAAAGUCGGCCUCCGGCAACAAGUUCGCCGUGGUGCAGGGCGCGAGGAGCCUCCCGUCGAGCGUCUACCAGAAAAUCCAGAUGAAGGGCGACACUCACUACUCGCUAUCAGCAUGGCUGCGGGUGUCGGCCGGCACGGCCCACGUGCGCGCGGUGGUCAAGGCCCCCAACGGCGAGAACAUCACCGCCGGCGGCAUCGACGCCCAGUCCGGCUGCUGGACCAUGCUCAAGGGUGGCAUGACUGCGCGCGCCUAUCACUACGGACAAGGAGAGGUCUUCUUCGAGAGCGACGCUCAGGUGGACAUCUGGGUGGACAGCGUCUCCCUGCAGCCCUUCUCUUUCGAGGAAUGGGACGCCCAUGCUCGCCAGUCCGCCAACAAGGCCCGCCGGAGCGCGGUCAAGAUCGUCGCCAGGGGCCCCGACGGCCAACCGAUGGCGAACGCCAACGUGAGCAUCCAGCUCCUCCGCGCCGGGUUCCCGUUCGGCAACGCGAUGACCAAGGAGAUCCUCAGCAACCCGGCCUAUGAGAAGUGGUUCUUCUCGCGCUUCAAUGUGGCGACCAUGGAGAACGAGAUGAAGUGGUACGGCACGGAGUGGGCCCAGAACCAGGAAGACUACCGCACCCCGGACGCCAUGAUGGCGCUGGCCCAGAAGUACGGCGUCAAGGUGCGCGGGCACAACGUGUUCUGGGAUGACCAGAACUCACAGCUCAAGUGGGUGACGCCCAUGAACCUGAACCAGCUCAAGGCGGCGAUGCAGAAGCGGCUCAAGAACGUGGUGUCGCGCUACGCCGGGAGGCUCAUCCACUGGGACGUGGUGAACGAGAACGUGCACUUCAACUUCUUCGAGACCAAGCUCGGCCCCAACGCGUCGCCCUUGAUCUACCAGCAGGUCGGCCAGAUCGACCACACCGCCAUCCUCUUCAUGAACGAGUUCAACACGCUGUCGCAGCCCAUGGACCCCAACUGCACUCCCACCAAGUACAUGGCCAAGAUGAAGCUCAUUCAGGGCUACCCCGGUGCCGGCCUCAAGCUCGGCGUCGGGCUCGAGAGCCACUUCACCACGCCCAACCUCCCCUACGUCAGGGGCGCCCUCGACACGCUCGCGCAGCUCAAGCUGCCCAUGUGGAUGACCGAGGUCGACGUCGUCAAGGGCCCCAACCAGGUCAAGUUCCUGGAGUAGAUACUCAGGGAAGGCUACGGCCAACCCGGCGUGCAGGGCAUCGUCAUGUGGGCCGCGUGGCACCCCUUCGGAUGCUACGUCAUGUGCCUCACCGACAACAGCUUCAAGAACCUCCCCGUCGGCGACCUUGUCGACAAGCUCAUCGCCGAGUGGAAGACGCACAAGACGUCCGCCGCCACCGACGCGAAUGGAAUGCUCGAGCUCGACCUCGCCCAUGGUGAUUACAAGUUAACGGUGAACCACCCUUCGCAGACGACGGCCGUCUCCCACACCAUGACGGUGGAUGCGGGGUCAGCAGCCUCCGAGCACAUCAUCACCGUGAAGGCGUAG